This 320-nucleotide unclassified non-coding RNA is filed under the name uncultured Ascomycota. Its description in RNAcentral is "sequence contains ITS1". The stretch from base 1 to 105 matches the Rfam family "5.8S ribosomal RNA", at positions 50 to 154 of the family's 154-position model. The record is from RNAcentral. Lineage: Eukaryota; Fungi; Ascomycota.
GAAAUGCGAUAAGUAAUGUGAAUUGCAGAAUUCCGUGAAUCAUCGAAUCUUUGAACGCACAUUGCGCCCUCCGGCAUUCCGGGGGGCACGCCUGUCCGAGCGUCAUUGCACCCCCUCAAGCCCGGCUUGUGCGAUGGGCGCCCAUCCCCCCAAGUUCCGGGGGGGAUGCACCCGAAAGGCAGUGGCGGCGGCGGCACCCGAGGCCCGAGCGCAUGGGGACCCUUAAGCGCGCUCCGCGGCAGGGGCCGACGCCCGCCGGACGUUUCCAGUGUCUUCCCCAGGUUGACCUCGGAUCAGGCGGGGAUACCCGCUGAACUUAA